AUGGUUCACACUGAUGUUCCGAUUGAUAACAAGAAAUUGUGGAAGCUCAAAAUUCCCCUAAGAGUGAAGAUAUUCCUCUGCUUUCUAAAUAGAGAGGUCAUCUUAACUAGAGAUAACCUGGCACAACGCAACUGGCAUGGUAGCAACACAUGUGUCUUUUGCCAACAUGACGAGUCCAUCAAACACUUAUUUUUUGAGUGUAAGUUUGAUCGUGCAGUCUGGGCCAUGGUUCAAGUAGCUUCAAAUCUAUAUCCCCUGUAA
RNAcentral lists this ribosomal RNA (261 nucleotides) under Triticum aestivum (bread wheat). RNAcentral's name for it is "partial small subunit ribosomal RNA". Lineage: Eukaryota; Viridiplantae; Streptophyta; Magnoliopsida; Poales; Poaceae. The record is from RNAcentral.